RNAcentral lists this small RNA (633 nucleotides) under Pan troglodytes (chimpanzee). RNAcentral describes it as "retained intron". The record is from RNAcentral. Lineage: Eukaryota; Metazoa; Chordata; Mammalia; Primates; Hominidae.
CCUUUAUUUUUAUUUUAAAGAAGGUGAGGGAAAUGGUAAAUAAUUUCAAAUUUUAUAGGCCGCAAAAGAUAAGUACCGUGAAUUGGCCGUGGAAGGGAUGCACAGAGAACUUGUGUUCCGGUUUAUUGAAGUUCAGACACUUCUCCUCGCUCCAUUCUGUCCACAUUUGUGUGAGCACAUCUGGACACUCCUGGGAAAGGUCCUGUGGAUGAAGUUUUAAUACACUCCUCACAGUAUCUUAUGGAAGUAACACAUGACCUUAGACUACGACUCAAGAACUAUAUGAUGCCAGCUAAAGGGAAGAAGACUGACAAACAACCCCUGCAGAAGCCCUCACAUUGCACCAUCUAUGUGGCAAAGAACUAUCCACCUUGGCAACAUACCACCCUGUCUGUUCUACGUAAAUACUUUGAGGCCAAUAACGGAAAACUGCCUGACAACAAAGUCAUUGCUAGUGAACUAGGCAGUAUGCCAGAACUGAAGAAAUACAUGAAGAAAGUCAUGCCAUUUGUUGCCAUGAUUAAGGAAAAUCUGGAGAAGAUGGGGCCUCAUAUUCUGGAUUUGCAAUUAGAAUUUGAUGAAAAGGCUGUGCUUAUGGAGAAUAUAGUCUAUCUGACUAAUUCGCUUGAGGUA